AAAGAAAUAGAUAAAGGAAACUUCUAAUUUCCAUUAAAGCUUUUGAGUUUAUAUU
Molecule: transfer RNA, 55 nt
Filed under: Calochromus sp. UPOL MT0047
Lineage: Eukaryota; Metazoa; Arthropoda; Insecta; Coleoptera; Lycidae
Description: partial tRNA-Ser
Source: RNAcentral